CUAUUUAUUUGUACUGCUUUCAGACAUUGAAACCAGAGAUUGCUUGUCUGUGCCAGGUGCAGUAUUCGUGUAGAUUCUCAGCCUCUGGAGAAAUCAAGAUUCAGAUGUGCCAAAGUGGAUACCAGGUGUCCAAAACAUUAGCCUACUGUUGUGUAAACUGGAAAACCAUCUGAAAGUCUGGUGGGGAGAAAAGAUAGCCGCUCUGGAUUUGCCCUGCUGCAGCCAAGAUCAGCAUGUGGCCUUUGAACUCCAUUCUCUUGCUUAAAAGCAGCUGAUAGGAAGCUCGAGAGUACAUAUGUUGCUCUUUCUAGUGUUUCCCUGACAUUCCUCUUGGUCUAGCACAACACUACCCAGCCUUUUACCCUCCGCAGAGGUAUCUACUGAAGCUGACGGACAGCUCUACCGCUGAAGAAGACUUUAGUUAAAAAAAAAAAAAAAAGCCUCCAUCUGGGACCACUUUGCUAUUUUCAGUUUUCCAACUCUUCACUAGAAUCAGAAAGACUCAGUUGCAAGAAAGAAGUUUCCUUCUCUUGUUGAAAUUCAGAAACGUAUAAGUCAGCAUCACUGUGGUUCUAAACUCAGCUUUCUGCUUGAGGAGCUGCACUGUGGUCACUUGUUCUCUGUAACUACCAGAGAAUUCAGGAAAGCUGUUAAGAUCAAAUUAUGCCUUUUCAAGGGCAGGCAGCUCACAUGGUAAUGUGCUGAGCCACCACCAAGGAAUGCUCUGGAUUCUAUUAAUACAGGGGCAAUUUUGUAGCAUUUUCUCUAAAUAUGUAGCCUUACAAAAAAAGCCUUAUUUUCAUUUAGCUAACGCAGUGGAAAAUGUGGCUAGGGACUUACUAGUUAAGCAUAGUAACUUUGUCUUGAAUAAAACGAGGAUGAUUGUAAAGCUUAUAAUUUAGGCAUUAGCAGUUAGAUCAUAAAGUAGGCUACUGGUAAACACUAAGUAUUAAGGAUUACAAUAAUUCAUAUUUCUUUGUUACUGACACCAAGAGACCAAUUCACUAACUGCAGUAUGUCGGUGUAAAAUGGUUAGACCAGGAUUCAGUUUUGCAUGUGUUCAUGAACUGGGUAUUCAUUUACAUCUUCCGUUUUUCUAAAAUGGGUCUUUCUUACAUGAAUGUGUGACAAACGUGGGAAAAAGAAUGUAAUGUCAUAUUACUUUUAAGGUAGAAACACCUAACAAGCUCUUGAAGAAAGCAGACGAGGUAAGUGUGUUUCAGGUCAUAGUAAAUGUUUUGACAGAAAGCUUCCGAACUGGUUUCUCAACAGCUUUCUCUCACAUAAAGGCAUACACAAAUUCUUUUACAUAUACUGAUCUAUUUUAGAUAAGCUGGGAGGAGUAUUAAAUUUCUUAACUGCUUAUUAUACCAAUAUGUCUUUUCCAAGGCUAGUCAAAACUAGAAAGUGUUUGUAGUAAAUCUGCAGUCAGUAUGAGGGGUUUCAAACUUUCAUCUAGAAAAACAUAGUUCCCACUGGCAAUCCAAAUUCUGUGGUGCUCACCAGAACUGUGAGCUGGGAGACCUGCUCUGUGUUAAAUACCAACCCUCGCCUGCUGCACACACCCAGAGUUACGGGGUGAUUUUGCUGUGAAAAGGUGGUAGAACACUUAAGCCUUUGUAAAGAGACUGUGUUUCUCAGACUGAAUAUACUACUUUAAAUAUGCACAUAACAUGUUGGGAUCUAAAUGGUUACCAAAAAUUUAAGAGGUCUUGGAAUUACUCUGGAUAAUUUUCUGUGCACUAUACUUCAGUACUCAGAUUCUGACAAUAAGACAAAUACUAGGAGUCACAUGAAGAAGUUAUCACUAAGUUUAAAGUUAAAAAUAGGAAAUACUUUUUCACAUAUUGCAUCUCGAAAUGGUAGCAUUUGUAGCUGCACUAUUUUGAAUGCUAAAUGUAUGAAUAGAUUCAAAAAACAAUUAAGCAUAUUAAUGCAAAAUAUUUUUGUCAGUAGCUUUCAAAUGUGGUGGUGAAGAUGCUUCCACUCUAGAACAUCUUCAAUAGCAGAGCCCUAGAAGCGGGACAGUGCACUGGGAGAUGCUCUUACCCCCCUGUAAGCUUCUCCUCCUGGCCGCUCUCUGGGACGGGAUACUGGGUUAGAGGGAUCUUGGAUCUGACGCAGUGUAGUGGUGCUUAUUUUUGUGAAUGCUACAAAAGCAUCCGAGUGCUUUCUAAAGAUACUAGAAAAUGAAUUUGCAUGAUCCAGCUGUUUCAGUGAUCAUACAGUAUUUAAAUUGUAAGUCCUAAGCUGUUCUGCCUCUGGCUAUUGUAUGCUUCCUCAACAGACAGGAAAUCUUCUCUAGUUCCUGAGUAGACACAAGAAGGUCCUGGGAGUAGAUAGAGUUUCAGAAUGGAAAAAACUGAGAAUUACCAAUUCAAACAAUCAGUUUCCUGUCUUUCAGGAGCCUCGUGCCUUGCUGUAUAAUACAAUAUAAACAUGAGCUCUGUUUUCUUUUAACAUUUUCAUUUCAGUUCAUAGUAAAAUCAGUCUCCUUAUUCAUAAAAAAUCCAAUUAAAAUUAAGUUAACGCAUUGCUUUGGAAGUGAGUUUUAUGCCAGUGCCAAAAAUGGAUCCAAGCCGUGUGCUAUGCUUUUUUUUUUGUUCCAUUACAUUAUUUAAAGAACUAGUAGCACAUCGUUUGUUUUAACCACAAAGUCCAAUGUGUAAAAUUGAUGUUACAGAAACUGACAGAAAUGAGUUAUUUCUAAACUGGAGUUUCAGUCGAUGGCCAGUUCUCCCAUGUUGCGUGCUGUGCCGGCUGC
Phalacrocorax carbo (great cormorant) is the source of this 2764-nucleotide non-coding RNA. NCBI's taxonomy places the organism in Eukaryota, Metazoa, Chordata, Aves, Suliformes, Phalacrocoracidae. The record is from RefSeq and is a predicted model, not a curated record.